GCAGGAUUUGAGGAGCGGGGGCAGACGGCGUUUGGAGAGCUUUUUCCAGAAACUAUCCGGAACCCAGCGCAGUUUCUGAGAGCGCCCCAAGGGAUUUCUCAAAGAAGGCACCCCAGCAAUUGCUUUUCUUGACGACUUGCUUUUCCUCUGGCGGCACGGAGACCCACAUACCGCUCUAAAGGCGACCACACACCCCAGCACCCAGGCUCGUUGUCGCCCUCCCGCCUGUCCUCCCGCGGAAGGGAGGGGCCCCACCCCCAGCGUUGUGGGGCACGGGUCCUAAAAGGGCGCCUACGUGUACCGCUCCUGGACACCCUCCCCCCCCCCAGGACGCUUUCUGUAGAGUGGGGUGAAAGUCUGAGAAGAAUCGCUCUGCCACUGGCAAGAACACAAUUUUCCCGUAGCCUUCAUCUGCGCCCUCCUUUUCAUAAUGUCUUGAUUUCCCCUGUGCACCCCCGAGCCGGCUGCAGCACUGGCUCUUGGAGCUUGAAGUGCCCUUUAAGGCUCCUCAGAGCGAACUGCUCUGCCUUCUGGUCGAAGCGCAGGGAGUGGGUUCCACUUGGCAGGGAUUAUUUUAAACUGCUACCUGCAAUUCACGCGACAUCCGACACCGGUAGCCCAGCCCGCGCGGUGCCCGCCAGAGGCGAAACAGGAUUGUCCCGUGCCCACUAGAGGUCACCAUAAAGAGUCAUUUUGCCCUGAUUCUAGUGUGGAUUCAGCUAAAAAGCAAGACACCUACAAAUUCAAGUGCCUAUAUCCCUCCUCACAAAGUAAAAUCCCUCUGGGUGGUUUCUUAAAGAAUGGAAAUCUCUAUAUGUUGUUUAUCCCUUGACUUGGAUAAUUUAUCUUAAAAGCACUUAAUGUGAUUAAAGGCUCAAAAACAAGAGUUGUUUGUUUGCAAAGUAGCUACUAAACCA
This 917-nucleotide long non-coding RNA is filed under the name Felis catus (domestic cat). Its description in RNAcentral is "lncRNA (ENSFCAG00000052085.1)". The record is from RNAcentral. Lineage: Eukaryota; Metazoa; Chordata; Mammalia; Carnivora; Felidae.